AGUGAACGCUGGCGGUAGGCCUAACACAUGCAAGUCGAACGGCAGCACAGUAAGAGCUUGCUCUUACGGGUGGCGAGUGGCGGACGGGUGAGGAAUACAUCGGAAUCUACUUUCUCGUGGGGGAUAACGUAGGGAAACUUACGCUAAUACCGCAUACGACCUACGGGUGAAAGCAGGGGAUCUUCGGACCUUGCGCGAUUGAAUAAGCCGAUGUCGGAUUAGCUAGUUGGCGGGGUAAAGGCCCACCAAGGCGACGAUCCGUAGCUGGUCUGAGAGGAUGAUCAGCCACACUGGAACUGAGACACGGUCCAGACUCCUACGGGAGGCAGCAGUGGGGAAUAUUGGACAAUGGGCGCAAGCCUGAUCCAGCCAUACCGCGUGGGUGAAGAAGGCCUUCGGGUUGUAAAGCCCUUUUGUUGGGAAAGAAAAGCAGCAGGUUAAUACCCCGAUGUUCUGACGGUACCCAAAGAAUAAGCACCGGCUAACUUCGUG
RNAcentral lists this ribosomal RNA (492 nucleotides) under uncultured bacterium. RNAcentral describes it as "partial 16S ribosomal RNA". It matches the Rfam family "Bacterial small subunit ribosomal RNA", at positions 29 to 507 of the family's 1533-position model. The record is from RNAcentral.